UUUUCCUCUAAUAUGACUCCACUUUGUAAUUACAGAAACCAGCUCCUCCUGGGGAGGAGGGUGCCUGGGGUAAGAGGCUCAGAGACCAUCCUGACAUCACUGCAACUAUGAUUUCACCAGGAUAAUGUACUGCAACAUCAUUGUCAUAUGAAAUCUCUACUCUUGGAAAGAGAUUUCAGCCUUUGAAUUAAGCAGCAGUUCACUCUCAGUGCUACAGGCGAUAAAAGGGAAUAUUCCAGUCCCCGUGUCCAUCACGGCUGCUCUGCCAAGCAGAGUUAACAGACACACACUGCCCUGCUGCUGUGCUGCACUAACAUCGCCUUUGCUGCACGCGAGGAAUCUGCCUUAAUUUCUCACUGAGGAGUCUGAAGAAAUGAGUGCCCUAGGAAUUCACAUGGAAACGUACUCUCAGGUAACUAAACUCUCACCCCUGGGUCAUGGCAACAGGUCAGCUCUUCCUGCACAGAUUGGGCCUUCUGCAAUUUCUUCACACAAGCCGCUACUUUCCACAGAACCACCAGGUGCCAAGUCCUGGGAAGAAGGGAACACAAGAUCCAAGUGCUGGGGAAGCCCAGGCACUGGUGCAUCCCCUUGUCACACUGUAGGAGUGAACAGAGCACAGGACAGUGCAGGAGCAGGGAGCCACAGAGCUGAGUUUGGGUGGACAGUUUGCAGGAAAUGUGUCCAUGGGUUUGACAGCAGUGUUCCUGCAUUAGCACCACAGCAGCAGCUGUUAUUAACUGUCUGCUUUCCCUCUGGAGUGGUGUAACUGCUCCAUGCAGUGGAGAGGCAUCCAAUUAAUUGGAUGGAUAAAAGUGGUUAAUGCACCUUGGAGAAGCAUAAUUUAAUUGGAAAUUAUUAUUAUGUUCUGGUCCUAUGUAAAGAGCGUGAGAAUCAGCACUAAUGGCUCUGUAUUAACAUGACUUUUAAUUGCUGUGAGGUUCUGUGAUUUAAGCUUCUUUCUGGUUAUGGUUUUGUUUCCCAGAGAUCUUUGGUGGGAUGCAAUAACACACUGGGAUCCAGUGAGGUGCAUUGCCAUGAGUCAAGGCUGUCACUCCUCAGUGCUGAUUCUAGGGUGGAGCUUGGCUCCAGGCUUUGCCUUUGACACCCCCAGGGAUGGCUCCUGAGAGCAGCUGAGCUCCUGGCUGUACUGCAGGGGCUGCUCCCUGCUGUCCCACCCAGCACUGCCUUCCUCACCGCUUCCCUGCCUUUCCAGCAGGCUCUGCUUCCCUCCCAGGGCACAGGUGUGCAGGGCUGUGCUGGUUCCUUGCUGCUCCCACAGAGAUGUGGUGCCAUAGGGUUACAGCUGCAGCAGGAAUGGGGUUCCAGUGAGUCAAUCCCCCUCCUCAGGAUGCUCACCUGAGCAGCUGCUCAGCAGCGACUGUAGGAGAGAACGGAGCCUGUGUAGCCUGCAAAGAAGACAGCAAACCAAGGAAGGGCAACUUUCUCCCCCACAGAGCUGUGAACCCUCCCUGGCUCACAGACCACUUGUGGUGUCUUUUACAGCCCCUCUGAUUUACCAGAGUGGUGCUUAUAGAGGUGGGGAAAAUGCAGUUUUGCAAUGGUGUGGAAAAUGCCUGUGAGGAGAUGAGACAUCAAGCUGCCAUCAGCACAAAUAUAUCUGUGCCUUGUUUUCCUGUUUUUCUGGCUUUGGACAAGCGCCACCACAACCAACAGUUUUCCUGUUCUUUUUUAGCUUUGCUUUCACAAGUAUCUUAAACCAACUCUGUCCACCCCAGCAGAAACAUAAUACGCUGACAAGUUUAGAACAAAAAAACCCCAGGAUUUUUAAUCUGUCAAAGAGAAACAGGGAGAGCCUUGGGCUCCUUCAGUGGUCUGUGGUUGUGGAGUUGGACACUGCUGGCCUGGCUGUGUGCAGUGGGCCCGUGCCCAUUCUCCUGGCCCUCUGGAGCAGGCGGCUGUGGAGAGUGCUCAGGGCAUUGCACUUGCAGCUGUUUCCACAGCAGGUCAAGGUGAGCGAGAGCCUCCUGGCUCCAGCUCCCUGGGACCAGCAGAGAACAGGGCUGGGAGGGAAGGAGGAGGCUGUGGAGCACGUGUCCAUCGUGUCCUUGCUCUGGGAGAGGCCAGGGGCUGGCCAGGUGCAGUCAUGGGGCUCACCGAGGGCAUGGCUGGUGCUGCCUGUGGCUCUGCCUCUACCAACACAUGCCUGGAGCUUGCCCACCACCAUCUCAUCAACAGAGAGUCCUUUUAAAACCUGUCACAAGAGCCCAGGGAGUAAAGGUGUAACCCUGGGCACUGCCAGCCCAAGGAGCUGCAAGGAAUCUGUGUCAGAGCUGGGGUGGCUCAGAGCUGGGGCAGGACAGGGGUGCAGGGGACAGGGCAGUGGUGCUGUGCCUCGGAGUGCAUUCCUAAGUGGAGCUGAUUUAAUAAACAGCAGGAGUGUUUUCCCAGGCCACAUGCUGAGCUGUAUUCAAAAUACAUUUGUACGAACAUCAAUUUUUAAUGCAAUUUAUGCCAAAUGUUGUUGCAAAAAGCAGCCGUUAACAUGACAUUAAUUCAAUCACUGGAAAUACAGUACGUGCUGCUAAAUGAAAACAUGUUAUUAGUCAAUUAGAUUAACUGGAUGUAACACUUCCAAACACAAUGUAAUAUGGUUUCUACAUGGUUAAUUACGUUGUACAAAUUACAUGGCAAUAAGGCUCAGCACUGGACACACACAUGCAAUUAAUACAUAAGCAGAAAAACCAGCUUGUGAUUCACAUUUGAACUAUGUAAAAUUAUUUGAAAUAUAAAUAUCUUGCAAGCUUGAAAUAAAGAGGCAGAAUUAUGCUGAUACUAUAAUGGGCACAGGGUAAUUUCUAAAAUAGCCAGGAAGGCCUUUGUGAGGAGAUCACAGAUGUUUGUGGUUGCUUUCACGAGUUUUAAUUUGCUUUGAAAAGACCAUUUUAAUUUUAAACAGGAACACUCCUGGCCCUGGUGGGGUCCCUCUGUGUACAGGAAUCUGUCAGUGCCCACGCAAGCCUCCUCCUUUGUUUGUGUUUUAGGAAGAAUUUGCACCCACUGACGGGGAAUGGUGCCAGUCCCUGGUGCCAGGAGCGGGCACUAUGCCUGGCAGCCCUCGCCACGUGUCCCACCACAGACACCACCGGGGUGGCUGGGGGGGAACCCCACAGCCCUGUCCCUCUGGAACCCCCCAGUGAGGGGGUUGUGAAUGCCCAGCCCCAGAAAGUUCUGGAAUGAGGAGGCUGUUCCUGGGAAGGACUCGGUUCUGUGGCCAGAGGGGAGCUCUGGACAGACAUCCAAGGCAGCAGCCCCUCACUGUUCCCACUCUGCAGGGAAGGAAUGCAUAGCCAGAUGUGGCUGGUAGGAGGUGGCUGGCACCUUUGGGAGAACAGAGCUCCAGGCCCUUGUUCCCAGGGGCUCUGGGGAUGGGCAGUGGCUCCUUCUCCCUGGGGACCCUCGGGACCCUGCGCUGCACACGAGGUAGAAACAGGUAGGUGGUAGAGCUCUGGAAAUGCAUUUUUAUACCUAUUGCUGCAAUAAUUAUCAUGUUCAUGGAAAUGUGACUUCUCCCCAGCAUCAGUAAUGUUAGCAGCAUUCCAGCAGGGCUUGGAGGAUGGGGGAGCACAGACUGUCCCGAACUGGUGCCUCCAUGGCACCAAAGGACUUUGGAAGGGGGCAGCCAGGGGUGUGAAUGAGGGGGAAAAGGAGAUGUGCCAGUGGUUGUCACCCCAAUGUCCUGUGGCUCCACUGCUGGGGCUGGGUGCUGCACUGGCAGCUGCAGCCCCAGUCCCUGGGAGCCCAUCCCUGCCCAGGGACAGGUGCUGAUAUUGGCAGUCUGCCCGUGCUGGCUUCAGGUUUCAUUUGACACAGCCAGGGGCAGCCACUGGCGCAGUGGAGUUUGGCUUAUUGGUUUCACAGGGAGAGGGGAGAGAUCUGAGCAGCCACUGGCACAGACACACACCAGUGCACUGCUGCAGCCACUGACAAAGCAGUGAUAAAGCUCUUAGAGAGAUUCCUGUCUCAUCUGUCUCCAGUAAAUCAGAGCAAAGCUGAAAACAUCAGAGGACGCAAAAUGCAAAAGCAAUAAAAAGCUCCUGACGUCCAUUGAAGGCAGAACGUGGUCUGACAUGACCACUGGCAGCAGAAGGAUUUCACAUGGUGGGGGCUGCUUACAUGAGGAAUUGUUCAUUAUUUAGUGGCUGCUUAAGGGGCUGGGGAAACAAAAAUCAAAGCUCCUGCUGUUCUGUGGUGAUGAAAGUGCUGCAGCUGCCCCACUGCAGAUGCGUUUACCUCCAGCCUCACCUGCACCGGGAGCUGGAGAGGUGCCUGGCUGCUUGCUCAGAAAUGAAAGCACUGAGAAUCAAUCAUUUGUUUACAUUGUAGGACUUGUUGAAAAUCAAUUGGCUCCACAUGCUGCAGAUCUGAUUGCAUUUUGUUAGCGGUCACAGGGAAUGGUUUUCCCUUGACAUGUCUGUGUUCGUGGUUUCUCCAAUGCAUCAGUUGUACCAAGCUUUUAGGAUAAUUGAGACUGAGCAACAAUCCUCUUUAUAAAUAUUAACUCUGAUAUGCUUGGGAAACUCUGCCUCUCCUGGAUGAAUUUUUAACUAGAUUUUUAAUCUAUUGUUCCUUGUUAGAACAGCAGAAGCAUUCCUUGGUGCCUGUUCCUGCCUCCCCAGCUGCAGGAGAGUGGCAUCCCUGCCAAACAUCGCUCCCAGGGCAGGGAUGCAAAGCCCCUGGUCCCAGGGCAGGGCCUGCUCUGCCCAUGGGGACAACCCCACAGGGCAGGGACACAGGGCUGAGAGCAGCCAUGCAGGGGCUGCCAAGUUUGGGUUCUCCCAAAGGGACUGGUACACAAGGAUGAGUUUCCAUGUAGAUCCCUGGAAGUCUCCUGGGACAAGCAGAGCCCAGCAGCAGGGCAAUCUCUUGGAGCAGAUGCCUGUCCCUGUGCCCAGCCCAAGUGAUGCAGCCUCUGCACCAGGGACAGGCACCCUCAGCUGGGGAGGCAGCGCUGUCUGAGCCAUGGGAACUGCAGAGGAGGAGGACCCCCAGCCAGACCCAGAGCCCUGAAGACGCUGAUGGAGGGAUGUUCUCUGGGAGGACAUGCUGCAGGAGCUAGGAAGGCUGUGGAAUGGGCUCCUGUCUCUAGCAGGGGCUGCCAGGCCCCUCUGAGACCCCUUCCUAUUGGUGUUUGGUUCUGCAGAAGAGCUGGUCACAGUCCCACAGCUCUGGCCUGGCUCAGCUGAACUGUUUCUUUCCCCCCCCAAUCAGAUGUUGCCCUCUUUAAUAUUAUCUGAGUAUCUGUCAAACUGUGGAUCUUUUUGUGAAACCUCUGUACAGGAAGAGACAAAAGGCAGCAGGGAUGCUUUUGAAAUGAAAGCCCUACUUUACAUUUCAAAUACUUUAACAGAUUUUUCUUUUCUUUUUUCUUUCCUUGGAUUUUUAAUAAAAGCUUUAAACAGACCUUUUUUUUUUUAAUGGUGGUUGCUUGCCAAAGGACAUGUCAGUGGGGAUGUGAGGAAGCUGUUGCACUCAGAGGUUGCACAAGUCACUGCCCCAGCUAGGCUUGUUGUUCCAGGCUGCUGCGUGCCUGUUCCAGUGGAGCAGCUGCUGAUCUUCCACGGGGGCAGGACGGAUGGAUUGCCUGGAGAACCCAGGCAUGUGCUGCCAGCAUUUGCCUAAUAGGCACCUCAGCAAUGUGUCCUGGGAGCUGGGCUUGCCUCCUGAGCAGCUGCUGUUUCUCUCCAGUAAGUAUGUAAAGCCCAGCACAUUCCCAAGUGCAGGAGGUUUCUGCUGGGGUCCAGAGGCUGCGUGCUGCCACUGUGGCUGGAAGAUCCCAGGGGGAAUCCCAGAGCUUCGUGAUACGAGCAGCAUCAGAUGAAAUAACUAUUCUUGGGCACUCAUUCAGGCAGUACUUUCAGGUUUCUAAGCAGUGUGUAUCAUGCUGUGGCUGUUAUUAAAAUGCUCCUGUGGUCAGUAGCAGUGCAGCUUGCUCUGAAGAGUGCACACAGAUUUAAGUCCAAGAAAUCCAUUUAAGGUUCUCCCAGGCCAGGCUGGGGACAGUAGCAUUUAUCCCAUGGGCAGCCAAACCCUGACACAGCUCUGCCCCAGUCUGUGAGGUCUGCCCCUGACUGGGGUCACAAGAGAUGGCCAAAGCAGCCAGGUGCCAAAGGGCAUUCACACCGUGUCCCAUUGCCUUUUUCUGCCCCCCAGUGUUGCGGUGCCUUGCCCCUGUGGCUGCCCCACAGCCACCCUGGCACGCUGCAGGCUGGAAACAGUUCUGGCUGCCUGGGAUGGUGCUGGCCCCUCCACCCUCACUCUAGCUGGUGGCAACGCAAGGCACCUCCUUUGCAAGGAGGGGAAUUUAAUUCCUGAUGAAGACCAGGAUGUCUGCUAGCUCUGGGAGCCAUUCCUCAGCCGACACCGGCCCAGCAGCUGCGGGAGCCUCUGGCUGCCUCUUGGGCCAGCUGUGCCCAUAUUCCAGUGCUUGGGGAGGGCGGGUUAUUUCCUGGCUGCUUGGCACGGUUGCAAAUUUUAGUGGAAAAGCUAAACCAAACGGACUGUGGAGUGUCACACUGUGUUAGUUCUGUGCAGAGAAGAGUUGUCAAACCCGCAAACAAGACACGGGAGAAGCCUGGAAUUGACACCGGGGCUGGUGUCUGUGCGAGCGGGGCCGAGGCAGGGGCUGGGACACUUUCCUCGCUGCCAAACUCAGUGUCAAAGUCUGGAGCUUGAACCAAGGCUGAUGGAAGUGGAUUUAUUUAAACUGCCAGGAUAAAUUAACUUUUAAAGUCACAGUGAAAAAGUCUGUGCCGUGAAUAAGGGCCAUGAAUAUUCAGGCACAUGCACUCAUUGAAUUAGUUUGUUGCAAACAUAUUUGGAGGCAGCUGUUCAUUUAAUAAUCAGGGAUAAUCACAGAAAUAGGCGACCGGUUACUCCAUCUAAAUUGCAUGGUUAAAAUUAUAAUUUUAUAACUCUAUCUCAGCAAUUAGAUUUAAUAGCUAUGGAAAUCCAGCAAAACCCAGUUGAGGGAAAGCUGUUACUCCUUUAGUGCAGAAAAGCCAAGGUCAGGCUAGGGUUCCCUCUGCCCACACCGCAGAGACACUGGGGCUGGAGCUGUUUCCAGUGCUGCCCAAAGCACAGAGCCAGGACUUCUGGACUAAACACUCCAGUUCCGACACUGAACCAGGCUGGGGUUAGCUUUCUUGGCAUUUCCUGUCUUCAUUACAAUAUUUGUCCCAAGAACAGAUUAAUUCCUCUCAUUCUUUCUGCCUUUCCAGCCUUUUGUCACGGGAAUGCAUUUCACAGGACUGUAAUGUGUGAUACUUGCUCUGAGUUAUGGCUCUGCCAUACGCUGUAAAAGUUUGACUCUCUCAGUAUUGUACAUUUUGAUUCUACCCCUGCAGGCUAUAAACAACACAAAUUACCUCUUUCCUUAGCUUCCAAGAGGACUAAUCCCCUGUCUAGUGCUUUAUCAGUCAGUUGAGAAAGAGUGAGACCAACUUGCCAGUCCAAACAGAAUAUAUUGGAAAAACCGUAUCUCCACAACAGGGUCCCUUGCCAUAACUCACCAAGCAGCUCAGCCAGUGGAACCUGGUGCUGCAGUCACCUCUGGUUCUGUAAUGGACCGGCAGCAGAUGCCCCACGCACCCAGCUGUCAUCCCUCCUGUCCCGUCAGCCCUGUAGGAGCAGGAAGGGCUGGCACGGUCAGGGGUGGCAGGUUUCUGCCUGGGACCCUUUUUCACAGCCUGAACGCUGUGAAAGCUGGUGAUGAGCUCAGUGUUGCCAGCAGCUCUUGCAGUCUCUCCAGCACCGGCUGGGUACUGAAGGAGGGUGGGCUGGCGGGGCAGGGGCUGCACCGGGGACACCCCAUUUGUGGGGUAGGGAACCUCCCUGAGCUGCUGCCUUUUGCCCCUGUCCUGGGCAGGCUUCGCUGGGUGUGCUCUCCUGCACACCCUCCCUUGAUGCCUUCAGGCACUCUGCUGCUCUGGUGCUGGAGACAGGCAGGACACAGCUCUGCCUGGAAAAGGAAACCAGAAUUCAGGACAGCCAGUGUGGGAAGAAAUGUCCUGGUCCCUGAGGGUGCCUGCCUGCCCACAACAGGCACUUCCUUGGCUUAGCUGGAACUCCGCUCCUCUCCAGCACCAGGCCAGCAUGGUUGCUCCAAGGUUUAACACUUUAUUAGAAAAUGAGGGGUUAGAGCAUGUUCCAGAGGAGAAGGAAAUUUAUUGUUGCCCUGGCCCUGCAGCAAAGCAAAACUCAAAUAACCCAGAUGUGGGGAGGAUGAUAAAUCCCUGCUGGCAAUCACACUGCUGAAAGGAUGGUGACAGCCUCAGCAAAGUUUGGCCAGUUAAUAUUUCUCAUAGCUGAGUGAGAAAAAUAGUUAUAUUUAAAAUUAUAUCUCUGCUGAAUGACACAAGGAGAAAGCCCAGAUAACUGUUGGGCCUUCUAAACACCUUGCUGCAGGAGGUGCUGGUUUGCAGAGGGCUCCUGGGAGCAGCAGAGGGUCCCAGGGGUCUCCUCCCCACAGAUUUUCUCCGCUGAAGGAUCCCUCUGGGUAGGGAAGUCUCUGCCCAGCCAGCCCUGGUGCCACAUCCUGCCCUGAGCCAGGCAAGGGUGUCUCAUUUCGUGAAGGGGAGAGCAAGAUGAGGAGAGGGAAGGGGUAAGGAGUGAGGGCUCCAACAGGGGUGUGAGAAGUGGGGUCCCCCCAGUGACCAGGCCAGUGAGUGGGGGUUCAGGGACAGGCACAGAGAGAGGUGCAGGUCUCUGCUGCUGCUGCUCCUGCAGUGUGCUGAGAGUGCUCACCAGCCUAACAACUCCAAUUCCUUUUCCAAUUUAAAGACUUAAUUAUGAGAACUUUCUCUUCUCAAUUUUUAUUUCCAGGAGGUCACUAUUGUGAAGCCAGACUCUUCCAGUGAGUGAAGGUCCUUGGCUGGGGGUCCUGGGAAUGGCAGGGAACAUGCAGCAAAGGAAGCAUGUCAGCUCAAUGCGUGCUGUAAAUUUUCAAUGUGUUUUUGUUUUAUGCUCCAGGGGAAUGCUAUAGAAGCCAUCAAUCCUCUUCCUGGCUGAUCCUGAGCUGCUGGUGUUCAGGCAAGAUGGGCAGCAUCUGUCUGGGACACCCUGAUGGGGUAAAGGUGACGGAGUGUCCUGGACCAUUUUGGUCUGCCUUUAAAAAAUUAUUUUCUGUCAACAGAAAAUACAAGCCACCAAGGGCUCUUUGGAUCUUCCUGAUCUGAUGCCUGAAAUACCUCACUGUCAGCCUGCAGAGCGCUCUGGCACAGGAGCAGUGUGAUGCCAGCACGGCUCCCCCAGCACAGCUGCCCUCUCCUCCCACCGCCAUGUGAUUCAUGAGCUUUCACAUCUCUGCCAUUAGCCUGUUAAUCCAGCACCUUGCUCCAGCCACACCACGGGGGAGGAUUUAUGGUUCUCACAGAUCAAUUUCAUUAUCCCAGGAGGAAAAUCAGUGUCUUGUUAUGGAUAAAAUGACAAUAAAUGAAACGACCGUUAAUUUA
Parus major (Great Tit) is the source of this 9473-nucleotide long non-coding RNA. RefSeq lists it as uncharacterized. The transcript has 3 exons. Lineage: Eukaryota; Metazoa; Chordata; Aves; Passeriformes; Paridae. The record is from RefSeq and is a predicted model, not a curated record.